Molecule: ribosomal RNA, 253 nt
Filed under: uncultured microorganism
Description: partial small subunit ribosomal RNA
Rfam family: Bacterial small subunit ribosomal RNA
Source: RNAcentral
UACGUAGGUGGCGAGCGUUGUCCGGAAUUACUGGGCGUAAAGCGCGCGUAGACGGCUCGAUAAGUGAGAUGUGAAAGACCCGGGCUCAACUCGGGGGUUGCAUCUUAGACUGUCGAGCUUGAGUGCAGGAGAGGCAAGUGGAAUUCCCAGUGUAGCAGUGAAAUGCGUAGAGAUUGGGAGGAACACCAGUGGCGAAGGCGACUUGCUGGACUGUAACUGACGUUGAGGUGCGAAAGCUAGGGGAGCAAACGGG